CUCCGGCAAGUUCUAUUUAUUUGUGUCCUUGCUGCCAAUAGAUGUAAUUUCAUCACGAGCACCCAAGUACAGCAGCACUAUUGUCGUUCAUUAUUGUUGGCUUAUGCCCUAGAGAUAAAAUAAUUAGCAUUUGCCUCUGUGUGCCGGACUGUAGUUGUACCAUAUGCCUAUUGUAUCAUUUUCAUCCUUGAUAGAUGCAGCGAGUAAAUUGUCACUGAAAAAUGUUGUGGUUGCAGCGUUUGUUUUGUUAAUUCUGCAUUCCUUCCUUUAUGAGAAAAGUGUUACUUCUGCGUUAGUUAUAUGUUAUGUUUCUCUAUGUCCAUUGCUUGUAUUGACUUCAGAUUGUGCAUAUGUGGAGAAGCAUGUCUGCUCCCAGUGGAGAGGACUUUCAGAAAGACAACUAGGCACUUGCUUUAGCAUUCACGAUUACUAUUUUUGUAAAAAUAUUCAUACGUGUGUUUGAAUUGUUUUUAAUAGCUGUCUUUAUUACUCUCUCUGAUUGAAAAAAAAAUCGGAGGCUGCCUACAGCAAGUCUCUUUGUCAUCAGCGCCUUUCUUUGCUUGGUAGCUCCACAUCCAAUCUUUCAAGCUACAUCCAGAUAAGCAUGUGUUAAAUAAAAGCUGGUUGGCGUCGUCGCAAUUGCCAAAUGUGUGUGGACAUAUUUUUCAUCUUCCGCAUGUUCUCUGUCGAGAUCAAUGAGAAAGCUAGGUAGGGAGAACAACAAGUCUUCUGCAAGGUGAAAAUUGAGAAGAAAAUAUUUGGGUUGGACGACAGGGUUCAUCGGCCGGAAACCAUAUGUUUGAUUUUGCUCGAUAUGUACUUAGCAACAAUAUGGCAUCACUUUGAUUGAUAUCUUGGUGCAUCUUUUAUUGUUCAGUAGGCUCCACUUAUUGAGUAAACAUUGUCCA
Non-coding RNA from Aegilops tauschii subsp. strangulata, 908 nucleotides. Lineage: Eukaryota; Viridiplantae; Streptophyta; Magnoliopsida; Poales; Poaceae. The record is from RefSeq and is a predicted model, not a curated record.